CCGAGUUUACAACUCCCAAACCCCAAUGUGAACGUUACCAAACUGUUGCCUCGGCGGGAUUUCUGCCCCGGGCGCGUCGCAGCCCCGGACCAAGGCGCCCGCCGGAGGACCAAACCUUACAAACUCUUAUUGUAUUACCCCCUCUGCGGGACUUCUUUUUAUAAUUCUGAGCCUUUCUCGGCGCCUCCUAGCUAGGCGUUUCGAAAAUGAAUCA
This 214-nucleotide unclassified non-coding RNA is filed under the name soil metagenome. Its description in RNAcentral is "partial internal transcribed spacer 1". The record is from RNAcentral.